This is a long non-coding RNA of Pecten maximus, 718 nucleotides long. RefSeq lists it as uncharacterized. Lineage: Eukaryota; Metazoa; Mollusca; Bivalvia; Pectinida; Pectinidae. The record is from RefSeq and is a predicted model, not a curated record. The transcript is spliced from 2 exons.
CAAGCAUGUCAGACAACGAGAGUUGCAUUCCCACACUAUAACACGCGCCAGCACUCGGCAUCCUAAAAACGCUAAAUAAUGGUAAAUAUUAGGUAUUUGUGGUCCAUGCCAGAGUCGGAUGACUUUCGUAAUGAUCUUUGUGACAGUCGGAGCCACUGCGUAGAUCUGCGACAUUGAAAUCAUUAAAUUGCUUGUCAAUCAAGACGGAAACCUGUUUUACUUCAGAGUGUCGUGUACAUUUUGCGAUAUUAAUUCCUUAUUCCUUUGGGAUUUUAACCAAUUGUUGCCCCAGAAGAUUGUAUGAAUAUAAUUGUGCAGUCACUUUUCACUUGGUGUAUAGAUUGCUCUCCUAGGAUGUGUACCUCUACAGGGAGGUAUUGAUAAUACCAAUUUAUUCAUAUUUUAUGUAUAACGUGUCAGACCAAGUUAUGUCUCAGGCUGCGUCUUGCUGGCAUGAUUGGCUGUUAUGGAGAGUAAGUCGACCCAAGGCGUCAAAGAGAACUUCUCAAGAAAAGUCGUAAAGUACGCCACAUUCUAGGAAUAGGCGAGUGGGCAUUUAUUUCAAAAGCAAUGAGUGGCAAUCGUAAAGUUGCACAAGCAUAUUUGUGACAGCCUAACAUCUUAUAGACAUUGCUAAGAUCAUACACCCAUAACAACUUACUCCUUUUGACAGUUUUCAAAAAUAUUAGAUGUAUUUUAAUACACAUAUUGCUGAAUA